AACGCGAAGAACCUUACCAAGGCUUGACAUAUACGGGAACGCUGCAGAAAUGUGGUUCUCUUUGGACACUCGUAUACAGGUGGUGCAUGGUUGUCGUCAGCUCGUGUCGUGAGAUGUUGGGUUAAGUCCCGCAACGAGCGCAACCCUCGUUCUAUGUUGCCAGCACGUUAUGGUGGGAACUCAUAGGAGACUGCCGGGGUCAACUCGGAGGAAGGUGGGGAUGACGUCAAAUCAUCAUGCCCCUUAUGUCUUGGGCUUCACGCAUGCUACAAUGGCCGGUACAAAGGGCUGCGAUACCGUAAGGUGGAGCGAAUCCCAAAAAGCCGGUCUCAGUUCGGAUUGAGGUCUGCAACUCGACCUCAUGAAGUCGGAGUCGCUAGUAAUCGCAGAUCAGCAACGCUGCGGUGAAUACGUUCCCGGGCCUUGUACACACCGACUGUAC
This 442-nucleotide ribosomal RNA is filed under the name uncultured bacterium. RNAcentral's name for it is "bacterial SSU rRNA". It matches the Rfam family "Bacterial small subunit ribosomal RNA", at positions 958 to 1399 of the family's 1533-position model. The record is from RNAcentral.